GGGAGACGGGCGGGGAGCGCGCGCCUGAGGUCGCCGCCUCCUGCUUUCGACCCCGGAGCCCCUCCGCAGAGCGACGGUUGAGGCUCGAGACCAACUACUACACUGUACUUCCACGUUCACCAAAUGCAGUGCCUGGCAAGAGCAAAUGUUGAAUGAAUUAAUGUCUACCACGACUCUUCACGAGCAGAGGACUUCAAGUAGGGACUGCCUGCUGAAACAGACUGCAAACUGAAGACCUCACAAGCCUUAUCAUCUGAAUCUGUGGUUCUCAUUCCUUGUUGCACAUUCACAUCACCUGGAUAUCUUUCACAAAAUACGUAAACCCUAAAGACUCCCUCAGGUAUUCUAAUUCAACUGAUCUCAUUUAGAUUCAGGCUAUUCUAUAAGUUUAUUCUCUCUUUCAUUUGCCUGCGUCCGAAGAAGACAAUAACAAAUGAAUUUUUCAGAACCACCUGUUCCUGUGCAGGGCCCUCCAUUUGGCGCCACUCACAAACAUCUCGUGACAUAACCACUUUUAAGAGUCUUCUUUACAGUCCGACAUAAAAGAAGAAGGAACAAAGGGAAUUUUUCAUGGCAUCAGAAUCAAAACUGCCACUGUUGCACAAGAGCUCAGUUUUUCAUACUGGUCACUCCAGUUUGGGGCCACCAAGACAACUCCAGAAACAUCUCUAGCACACAAAGACAGCAUCAGGCCAGUUUCCACUAGAAUGUUCCUUCCAGUACUGCCCCCGACCCAUUGAAACAGACUCUGAUCAAGCCUCUAGAUAUAACUAUCAUUCUAUAGAAAUUGAGAGUCAUAAAGGAAUAUCACAGACGACACCAGGAGGAUGCAAUCAGCCAAAUCCAAAAUGUGGGAACUUCUACAGGGCAAGUAACCAAUUCCAAAAAAUAGCUAAGGGGAACUGGUAUAAAUCAAAAGAGACAUAAGAGCUAUCUCCACAACCUGUAAUAUGCAUACCUUGUUUGGAUCUGGACUCAAACAAAGAAAUGUAAAAAAAAACUCUUGAGACA
Long non-coding RNA from Physeter macrocephalus (sperm whale), 1011 nucleotides. RefSeq lists it as uncharacterized. NCBI's taxonomy places the organism in Eukaryota, Metazoa, Chordata, Mammalia, Artiodactyla, Physeteridae. The transcript is spliced from 3 exons. The record is from RefSeq and is a predicted model, not a curated record.